Molecule: long non-coding RNA, 456 nt
Organism: Hippopotamus amphibius kiboko
Lineage: Eukaryota; Metazoa; Chordata; Mammalia; Artiodactyla; Hippopotamidae
Exons: 3
Source: RefSeq, a predicted model, not a curated record
AGCAGGGAACCCAGGAGGAGGCGAUAAGAGUGAACUUGGUUUUGGAUAAACUGAAUUUGAGAUAUUUGAAGGACAUCUAGGUGGUGUCCUAUAGAACUUGCAAGCAACACUGAGUUCAUUGAGUCUGGGUAUUUCUGGCUAUGUGGAGAGGACCAUGCUCGGGGUUGCCAACAGACCAGCCACUGGGAAGGGAGCUCGUUGCGUCCACCUCCUCAGCUCCCACGCCAGGGUUGCACCUCGCCUCUUCUCGCUCCCCUACAUCCUCUCUGCCCCAACGAGAUUCCAGAGACAAGGAGGUGCUCCCAUCUGACUCAGGUUGGGAAACUGAGGCCAGAAAGAGUUGCCCUAAGUUACAACAAAGAUGUAUCUAAAGUUGGAAGAAGAAUUCAUGUUUCCUGACUCUCCAUCCAGUGCUCCUUCCACUGUACCUCUGCCUCCAUAAAUCAGGCACUGCCA